RNAcentral lists this long non-coding RNA (1002 nucleotides) under Dromaius novaehollandiae (emu). Its description in RNAcentral is "lncRNA (ENSDNVG00000016499.1)". Lineage: Eukaryota; Metazoa; Chordata; Aves; Casuariiformes; Dromaiidae. The record is from RNAcentral.
GCUCGGUGUUUUCCGACACCCCCAUCGUGGUGUAGGCGGCGGGGCGUUCCCGAGCGGCGCUGGCGGUGCCCAUGGGUGCGUGUUGGCGGGGGCGGGCGGCUGCGUCCCGGCGUUCCCGGARCGGCUCGGCGGAGGGCAUCCGCGCCCGGGGCGGCGGGGAAGGAGGAUGAGCCGGACUCUGGGACAGCCACCGGCACCGCGGGGAAGGAUGGGCUGGACUCUGGGAAAGCUGUCCAGGAUGAUGGGAAAGGAGGAUGAGCCAGACUGCGGGAAAGCUGCCGGGACCAUGGGGAAGGACGAUGGGCCGGACCACGGGAAAGCCACCGGGAUUGCGGGAAAGAACGAUGGGCCGGACUCCAGGAAAGCCGCGGGGCCCACGGGGAAGGAGGAUGAGCUGGGCUCCGGGAAAGCUGCAGGGACCACGGGGAAGGAGGAUGAGCCGGACCACGGGAAAGCCACCGGGACCACAGGGAAGCUGCUGGGACCGUGGGGAAGGAGGACGGACCGGACUGCGGGAAAGCCGCUGGGACCACAGGGAAGGACGAUGGGCCGGACUGCGGGAAAGCCACCGGGAUUGCGGGAAAGGACGAUGGGCCGGACUCCGGGAAAGUCGCGGGGACCGCGGGGAAGGAGGAUGAGCCGGACCACGGGAAAGGAGGAUGGGUCGGACCGCGGGAAAGCCGCCGGGACCGUGGGGAAGCUGCUGGGACSGUGGGGAAGGAGGACGGGCCGGACUGCGGGAAAGCUGCCGGGCACCGGGAGGGGGGACACAGCAGCACAGAGGGACAGACCCAGCUGGCGGCUCUGCCCGCGUUUUCCCCGGCACGUUCAUCCCCGAGCACGAAUCCUCCCGGAGAAGCACGCGGCCCCGUCGCCUCCCGCACAAGCYGUGAGCCCCAUCCUGCCCCCUGCCCCGGGGGGGGCGGCAGGGCUCGGUGCGGGAGCUGGGCGCUGUCCCGCUGUCCCCGUGCCCCCGCUGUCCCCGUCCCCCCGUGUCGCCUC